RNAcentral lists this long non-coding RNA (880 nucleotides) under Nicotiana benthamiana. RNAcentral describes it as "long non-coding RNA (NBEN_LNC032190)". The record is from RNAcentral. Lineage: Eukaryota; Viridiplantae; Streptophyta; Magnoliopsida; Solanales; Solanaceae.
AGUAUUACUUUUUUAAGUCUUUUUUGUUUCUGUAAAGUGUCGGCAAGAAGAUUUGGAGCUUGCUUUUUAUUCUCUUUCCGAUUUUUUCCUUCGUCGUUUUCUCUUUUGCACUUCGCGUCUCGUUUCUUUCCUCCUCUAUGUUACGCUUGCAUUUAUUUUACAAUUCUUUUUUUCUAUUUUUUGGGUUUCUUAUGGAGAAAGUGUUUCCGAUCAGUUCGCUCCAUUCUUCAUUUUACUAUAUAUAUAAUAGCUCAGAACUCGAUGGAUGUGUAAUUUUUCAAGUUAUCCUUUCUUGCUGAGUUUUAUACAUGUAUUUAGUAGUUUCAUUCAUCUGCACAUGUAUGUUUAGUGGCCUAAAAUACAACUUUGAGGGUGAAACAAGUGGAUAUGAUUGAUUAGUUCCGUAGUAGAUCUAAUUCUUCUGAUCCAAAGUUCCUUUCUGAAGUCAAAUGUAGGUUGAUUUUAUAAUUUAGUUGGCAUUUACGUAAAUGAUAGUUUGUUUCAUCUUCAUUUUAUUCUUCUCUCAGCGAUGUGGUACUAACAAUUCCCGCGUCUGUUAUUUUUAACCGAGAGGUUGUGAGUUCGAGUCUCCCCAAGAGCAAGGUGGGAAGUUCUUGGAGGGAAGAAUGCCGGGGGUCUAUUUGGAAAUAGCCUCUCUACCCAAGGGUAAGGCUGUAUCCGGUUCCGGUUCUGGGUCUAUUUGGGUAAACGGUUCCGGUUCUGGCGUUUCCCUGUUCCGGUUCUGGCGGUUCCCGGUUCUGGCGGUUCAGGAGCCGGAACCGGAACCGGAACCACCCGGUUCCGGAACCACCCGGUUCCGGUUCUGGCGGUUCCGGAACCGCGGGUCUGGCGGUUCCAGGCGGUUCCCGGCGGUUCCGAC